Molecule: ribosomal RNA, 794 nt
Filed under: uncultured archaeon
Lineage: Archaea
Description: bacterial SSU rRNA
Rfam family: Archaeal small subunit ribosomal RNA
Source: RNAcentral
ACUGCUUCAGUAACACGUGGACAACCUACCCUUAGGUCGGGGAUAAACCCGGGAAACUGGGUAUAAUACCCGAUAGUCCUCGGAUGCUGGAAUGCACCGAGGUCUAAAGCUCCGGCGCCUAAGGAUGGGUCUGCGACCUAUCAGGUAGUAGUGGGUGUAGCGUACCUACUAGCCUACGACGGGUACGGGUUGUGAGAGCAAGAGCCCGGAGAUGGAUUCUGAGACACGAAUCCAGGCCCUACGGGGUGCAGCAGGCGCGAAAACUUUACAAUGCUGGAAACAGCGAUAAGGGAACCUCGAGUGCCAGGUUACAAAUCUGGCUGUCGUGAUGCCUAAAAAGCAUUGCAUAGCAAGGGCCGGGCAAGACCGGUGCCAGCCGCCGCGGUAACACCGGCGGCUCGAGUGGUAACCGCUAUUAUUGGGUCUAAAGGGUCUGUAGCCGGCCGGAUAAGUCUUUUGGGAAAUCUGGCAGCUUAACUGUCAGGCUUUCAGAGGAUACUGUCUGGCUCGAGGCCGGGAGAGGUGAGAGGUACUUCAGGGGUAGGGGUGAAAUCUUGUAAUCCUUGAAGGACCACCAGUGGCGAAGGCGUCUCACCAGAACGGACCUGACGGCAAGGGACGAAAGCUAGGGGCACGAACCGGAUUAGAUACCCGGGUAGUCCUAGCCGUAAACGAUACUCGCUAGGUGUCGGCCACGGUGCGACCGUUGUCGGUGCCGUAGGGAAGCCGUGAAGCGAGCCACCUGGGAAGUACGGCCGCAAGGCUGAAACUUAAAGGAAUUGGCGGGGGAGCAC